CUUGUUCUGACUUUUGAGUAUCCUAAAACCUCGCCAAAACCCUCUGCUGUUGCUUUCUCUCCCUGUGAGAAAUGGGAGAGCAUAAUGUCCAUCUUUCGUCUUCUUUCACCCAAAUUGCGAUCGCUGAUCAACAUUGCAGUGACUGAUAAGGGUGAAAUUUCACAUCCGUUGAAGAAAUCAGAGGCUGUGGAGAAGCAGAAUGCCAUGGUUGUGGAGAUAUCUGAAAAGAACCGUUGAAGAAAUCAGAGGUUGUGGAGAUAUCUGAAAAGAA
Molecule: long non-coding RNA, 271 nt
Organism: Solanum stenotomum
Lineage: Eukaryota; Viridiplantae; Streptophyta; Magnoliopsida; Solanales; Solanaceae
Exons: 3
Source: RefSeq, a predicted model, not a curated record